UUUUUAAAAGAAGCUUCAAUACCACUAAAGGAAGGUUGGGAUUGAUUUUGUGGGGUUGUGGUCCAAAAGGACCAAAAAAGGGUCAAAUAAGCAUUUUUCUUGAUUUUCACACAAUAACUUAAGUAUAAGUAGAUAGAAAUCUAUGAAAUUUAAACAUAAGGUUAAUGACCACAAUAGGAAGGUUAGGAUUGAUUUUUUGUCGAGCCUGGAACUUUAGUUGCAGAAAGCUUGACAUAGGGAUAGUGAUCCGGCGGCGGCGUUAGCUAACUUCUUAAAAGCUUUAUAUUUUAGAAAGUAGAAGACUUGGAUGCUUCAUACUUUGGAUAUAGAUGCUUCAUGUUACAAAGUUUUGUCAGUCACAUGUCCAAUGUCCUUGACCUCAUUUUCAUGGUUCAGUGACUACUUGAAAAAAAAGUUAAAAUUUUUUGUAAUGUUAAGUUCUCUCUUAUUAUAAGUAGUAGGAUAACUAUAUUUGGUAUGUGCGUACCUUGCAAGGUCCCCAUACCCGUCAGACAGUUUUCACUUGACCUCAACCUCAUUUCAUGGAUCAGUGAACAAGGUUAAGUUUUGGUGGUCGAGUCCAUAUCUCAGAUACUAUAAGCAAUAGGUCUAGUAUAUUCGGUGUAUGGAAGAAAUGUAAGGUGUACAUGUCCAACUGUUAAAUAUGGAAAUAUUUUAUGAUCUUUAUGUCAGUCCCGCAGAUUUUAUUUGACCACGACCUCAUUUUCACGGUUCAUUGCACAGUGUUUAGUUUUUUGUGUUUUGGUCUAUUUUUCUUAAACUAUAAGUAAUGGGUCAAUUAUAUAUGUUGUAUAGAAGCAUUGUUAGCUGAAUAUGUCUGCCUAGCAUGGUUCAUCUGACCUUGACCUCAUUUUCAAGGUUCAUUGGUCUUUGUUUAGUUAUCUUGGUUAAUGUUAAGUUUAUGUUACAGUUGUAAUAAAGCUUAGCUUUAUACUUAGGACUAUCAACACAAUAUCAAUGAUUAUAGUAUAGAAGGCGAGACAUUUCAGCGUGUGCACUCUUGU
Molecule: long non-coding RNA, 1025 nt
Filed under: Mytilus galloprovincialis (Mediterranean mussel)
Lineage: Eukaryota; Metazoa; Mollusca; Bivalvia; Mytilida; Mytilidae
Source: RNAcentral